Molecule: long non-coding RNA, 269 nt
Filed under: Pan troglodytes (chimpanzee)
Lineage: Eukaryota; Metazoa; Chordata; Mammalia; Primates; Hominidae
Description: long non-coding RNA NONPTRT003627
Source: RNAcentral
AAGAAAUUCCUGGAACUUUGUUUUAUUGGCAUUGAGAAAAGAGUAAGGACGUUAAAUAGGAUGAAGGGAAGAUUGUUUUACAUUAUUUUUAAUAGCUCUCUUUAAGUGUAAAUCAAUGAGGUUGAUUGUAUGAUCAUUCAAAGACAUUUUAAAAGUCACCUUGUAUUAUUUUUAUUUUUAACUGUAUUCUCAGGAAUUGGCACUGUUCUUAAAAUUAACAGGAUUUUAAAAAUUUCCCUAAAGGAUGUUAACAUUUGUUUUUCUCAAUA